AUGGACAUGAGGGUCCCCACUCAGCUCCUGGGGUUCCUGCUGCUCUGGCUCCCAGGGGUCAGGUGUGACAUCCAGAUGACCCAGUCUCCAUCCUCCCUGUCUGCAUCUGUAGGAGACAGAGUCACCAUCACUUGCCGGGCAAGUCAGAGCAUUAGCAAUGAUUUAACCUGGUAUCAGCAGAAACCAGGGAAAGCCCCUACGCUCCUGAUCUAUGAUGCAACCAACCUGCACACCGGGGUCCCAUCGCGGUUCAGUGGCGGUGGAUCUGGGGCAGAUUAUUCUCUCACCAUCAGCAGCCUGCAGCUGGAAGAUUUUGCAACUUAUUACUGUCAACAGGAAUACAGUUACCCUCCCACGCUGUUACAAGCCAGAACAAAAACCCCUUAG
This is a non-coding RNA of Nomascus leucogenys (northern white-cheeked gibbon), 387 nucleotides long. The record is from the annotation of a RefSeq genome assembly. NCBI's taxonomy places the organism in Eukaryota, Metazoa, Chordata, Mammalia, Primates, Hylobatidae.